UGUAUGACAUAAUGGGCAAGGGUGCCAGGAGGCAGGGAAACCCCGGCUGGGAUACUCUCCCACUUUGUGCUGGCUGACCUGUCUGUGAACGGUCUGCCAGUAUAAAUUUCUAGAAACACAUGCUGCCUGACCUCCAGCAGAGGGCGCCAGAGGGACAAAAUAGAUCCCUGGAUUUCCUCAGCGGGUCGGAGAGAUUCUGUGCGUCAUUUAGAAAAGAACCGAAGAAUAAUGAAGUUACCCUUAGCGUCCUCCUAGAGGCUUUUCCUUUUGGCAUCUUAAAAGCUUGAGAGAUAACACGAAACCCCCAGAAGGCGGCCUUGCAGGCUUCCGGGGUGUGUCUUGCCUACCAAACCUGCCAGACCCUCAGGCAGGACUUUUCCCUGGGCUGGGAGGACCCUGAGGACGCCUUCGGCUCUGUGUAGGGUGCUCCUCCCGGUUUGCGUGGAUGGCUUUGUUAAGCCCGAGGGUUUUGAGUUCGUUCUCACUCCCUGGACCUCGAUUUUUCUUAGCACUCAGCCCUGCCCUCCAUGUGCCCUUCACACCCGAGAAAGCGGCAGCGUCAGCUGCUUCGUCGUUUUAAAGUCGCUAUAGCUUUAUCCCAGCCCUCCUGCUUUUACUUCACGGAAGCCGAACCGUGAGAGACUCUGAGGUGUGAUGGAGGGAGAGGGCCGAGCGGCCGAGCUCACCUCACCGGCUGGGUCGGGGGUGGCGACUGCCCUCCUCUCCCUUGGGGCCGCCUCCCCUCUUGCUCUGUGUCUGGCUUGGUUGUUGUGGGGUGAGAGGUGCCAUAUUAACGACCGGGCCGCAGAGAACCAGGGCCAGCCACGGACUUGCCGUCGCCCCUCUCCCCUGUGGAGGAGGCCUGAAUCCAGCCAGCGCUCCUGGUGCUAAGGGCCUGCCCGCCGACGCCCUAACUAGCUCGGCCGGAUCCCCGCCUUUGCUCUGGCUGAAGCGGUGAUGACAGUGUUCGCUUAAGACAGGCUUCCUGCCCAUGCCGUUUCCUGGGACGUUUUAUACAUGAGCUAGACCUUCACCGGGUGAUCCGAUCCGCCCCAGAUUUGUUUCUUGGAAUUUUAUAUUUGACAAUAUUUAUAUGAUGCCAAACGAAUCUGCGGUUUUUUUAGAUAUGUUGGUUAAAUCAUUUUUUUUUUUAAAGCAGUAAGUUUAUAGAAAAUGUUUUUCCAUUUAAUGGAGAGCCGAGAAAUGUCCACUGUCAACCCCCGGGCCUUAUCCUCUGGGCCUAAUACCUCAGGUCCAGGGGCUUAGGCAGAGCAGGCAACGAAGCGGCAGCCACACAGCCACACGAUGAGUAGAGGUACUCUUGUUGAGCACACACAUCUCCACAGGGCCAUCGCGACAUCCUCGCCCAGGCUGGGAGCUCACUGAUACCAUACACAGGUGACUCCCUCCAGGUUAGCUAUCUAAAUUCCUCCAGAAACUUCCUGAGGGCGGGCACCAAGCCUCUUGUACUCCUGACGGCUGGGGCCUGCGUAUUCAGCCUUUGUUCAAUCUAAUAAACUCUGAGUAGAUGAUCUCA
This is a long non-coding RNA of Pteropus alecto (black flying fox), 1537 nucleotides long. RefSeq lists it as uncharacterized. The transcript has 2 exons. NCBI's taxonomy places the organism in Eukaryota, Metazoa, Chordata, Mammalia, Chiroptera, Pteropodidae. The record is from RefSeq and is a predicted model, not a curated record.